Molecule: ribosomal RNA, 119 nt
Filed under: Pteropus alecto (black flying fox)
Lineage: Eukaryota; Metazoa; Chordata; Mammalia; Chiroptera; Pteropodidae
Source: RNAcentral
GUCUACAGCCAUGCUCCCCUGAACUAGCCCCAUCUCGUCUGAUUUCGGAAGCUAAGCAAGGUCAGGCCUGGUUAGUCCUUGGAUGGGAGACCACCUAGGAAGACCAGGUGCUGUAGGUG